AUACCGACGAUGGUCACAACGGAGAUGGGAACCAGGCGCUAGUAGAAAAUAGGUCUUUUGUUUGACCCUUUAGUCCCGCUUUGGUUUUGAACCGGGACUAAUGUGUCCAUUAGUCCCGGUUCCAGCGGCUGGAGGCCAAACGGCUUUAGUCCCGGUUCGUUAAGGGCCUUUAGUCCCAGUUCAUUAAGGGCCUUUAGUCCCGGUUUGAGCCAUGAACCGGGACUAAAGGGGUGGUGGAAACCAUUCGCCUGGUGCGAGCCCCUUUAGUCCCGGUUGGUGUCUCAAACCGGGACUUAAGGUCCAAACCGUUAGCAUCCCGCGUCGUUUCGCGCGAUGAAAAAGAGGAUAAGUGGUACAUACC
RNAcentral lists this long non-coding RNA (361 nucleotides) under Hordeum vulgare. RNAcentral describes it as "long non-coding RNA (HVUL_LNC005980)". The record is from RNAcentral. Lineage: Eukaryota; Viridiplantae; Streptophyta; Magnoliopsida; Poales; Poaceae.